AGUCGAACGGAAACAUGUCUAGCUUGCUAGAUGAUGUCGAGUGGCGGACGGGUGAGUAAUGCUUGGGAACUUGCCUUUGCGAGGGGGAUAACAGUUGGAAACGACUGCUAAUACCGCAUAAUGUCUACGGACCAAACGGGGCUUCGGCUCUGGCGCAAAGAGAGGCCCAAGUGAGAUUAGCUAGUUGGUGAGGUAAAGGCUCACCAAGGCAACGAUCUCUAGCUGUUCUGAGAGGAAGAUCAGCCACACUGGGACUGAGACACGGCCCAGACUCCUACGGGAGGCAGCAGUGGGGAAUAUUGCACAAUGGGGGAAACCCUGAUGCAGCCAUGCCGCGUGUGUGAAGAAGGCCUUCGGGUUGUAAAGCACUUUCAGUUGUGAGGAAAAGUUAGUAGUUAAUACCUGCUAGCCGUGACGUUAACAACAGAAGAAGCACCGGCUAACUCCGUGCCAGCAGCCGCGGUAAUACGGAGGGUGCGAGCGUUAAUCGGAAUUACUGGGCGUAAAGCGCACGCAGGCGGUUUGUUAAGCUAGAUGUGAAAGCCCCGGGCUCAACCUGGGACGGUCAUUUAGAACUGGCAGACUAGAGUCUUGGAGAGGGGAGUGGAAUUCCAGGUGUAGCGGUGAAAUGCGUAGAUAUCUGGAGGAACAUCAGUGGCGAAGGCGACUCCCUGGCC
This 677-nucleotide ribosomal RNA is filed under the name Alteromonas sp. RNAcentral's name for it is "bacterial SSU rRNA". It matches the Rfam family "Bacterial small subunit ribosomal RNA", at positions 60 to 734 of the family's 1533-position model. Lineage: Bacteria; Pseudomonadati; Pseudomonadota; Gammaproteobacteria; Alteromonadales; Alteromonadaceae. The record is from RNAcentral.